RNAcentral lists this unclassified non-coding RNA (377 nucleotides) under uncultured Gaiellales bacterium. RNAcentral's name for it is "contains 16S-23S intergenic spacer region". The record is from RNAcentral. Lineage: Bacteria; Bacillati; Actinomycetota; Thermoleophilia; Gaiellales.
UCCAGUAUAUCACUGGCAGUCUUGUUAGAGUUCCCGACAUGACUCGCUGGCAACUAACAACAGGGGUUGCGCUCGUUAUAGGACUUAACCUGACACCUCACGGCACGAGCUGACGACAACCAUGCAGCACCUUGUAAAUUGUCUUGCGAAAGAUCUGUUUCCAAACCGGUCAAUCUACAUUUAAGCCUUGGUAAGGUUCUUCGCGUUGCGUCGAAUUAAGCCACAUGCUCCGCCGCUUGUGCGGGCCCCCGUCAAUUCCUUUGAGUUUUAGCCUUGCGGCCGUACUCCCCAGGCGGGGUGCUUAAUGCGUUAGCUUCGGCACGGACGGGGUUGAUAUCCGCCCACACCUAGCACCCAUCGUUUACGGCUAGGACUAC